GGGGCUGAUUUUGGAUUCGACGUAAUUUUUAAAAUUUUAAAGCAUGCCGAGGAAUGGUUGGCCUCGUUAAAAAACCAAAUAAAUAAUUGCAGAAAAAAAUUUAAAAUAUUCUUUAGUAGCUUAAAUAAUAAAAAUAAAUUAUAAAAUAUUAAUAAAAUAAUAAAUUAGUAAAUAAGUAAAUUAAUAUAUAAAAAUAAAAUAUUAAUAAAACAAUAAUUAUUAUAUUUUGUUUAAUUUAUUAAAUUAAACUAAGCAUGUAGUAUUAUAAUUAUUAAAAAUUACGGACGCGGGUUCAAAUCCCGCCAGCUCCAA
This is a transfer-messenger RNA of 312 nucleotides. It matches the Rfam family "transfer-messenger RNA". Rfam says of the family: Bacterial tmRNA, also known as 10Sa RNA or SsrA, is named for its dual tRNA and mRNA-like properties. Its role is to liberate the mRNA from a stalled ribosome. To accomplish this part of the tmRNA is used as a reading frame that ends in a translation stop signal.